AUUAGUUUUGUCAGGUAUAGUAAUGAGAAUUAUUUAAUAAUUGUGAUUUUUAAAAUUUUAUUUAUUUUUAUUUUUUGGUGUCCUGGGUGGGCAUGAAAAUUAUGAUUUUUUUAAAAUCCUUAUCUGUUAUAAGUAAAACGAAAAAAGUAAAGUACACUCACAUUAAUGUUUACAAAUGCAUGUACAUAUUUUAUAUGUGUAGAGAUUCAUGGAAGGGGCUGCAGGAAGCCCAGGAAUUCAUUCCUGCCACCACCACCACCACUACCACCUAAGUGCUCAAUCAAUAUUGAUUGACUCAGUGAUAUCAUUCCCGGAACCAAGAGUGUGAAUUCCCCACAAGCUCCCUGACCUUGGGAGGCAGCCUCUGUGUGCUCUGUCAGCAGUGCCUGGCAAUUGGCUUAUGCUUUCAGUCAACACUUGAGGACCCCACCCAGUCAGCACCACCAGUGCUAAGAAGUGAAGGAGUGUCAGGGUGGAGAGCUGGGAAGAACCCUAUGGGAAACCGGGAGGGUAGCAAGCAGCGGGCUGCUCCACAAACCCCAGAGGAGAAAGGGGACAUGUUGGUGCCAGAAAUUCCCUCUUGCAUCCCACCUCUGGCUGCAGAUGCUGGUGUGAGGUCACCUCUGGACUCAGUCACUUGUUCUGUGACAUCUUCCCCACCCAGUCUCCCUUGUGUAGCACAGUCCUGCCAUCCUCACUCCUGGCUCCUAUUGUGUGUACAGAAGUCCUAUUGGGGAGUUGGUGGAGCCAGACGUUAGGAGAAGAGGAGGCAAAUAGGAUUUAUGGGAUAUUUGCCUUUUCUAAGAACUGUCCCCUGCUUAUGUCAACCUAGGCUCAAAGUACGGAGGUCAAAUAACAGGGAAGCAAUGCUCACUACUAGAAGCUAGCUGGGACCAAGGCUGAGUCUGGCUACAGGUGGUGGGGACUGGUCAGGGUCAUCUUUGGGGGCCAUCUUGCAAACAGACUUCUUCCUAGGGCUCAGGGAGGACAAUGAUGAAGGGGCAGCAGUGAAAUGGCUUGGGUAGGAGUGCAUAGUCUGCAGGAACUGUCUCCAAGUCACCAGUGGACAUUCUCUGGUGAAGCCUCUGCCCUUCACUCCUAGCUUCCUUCUCCUCUUAAAGCCCUGACUGAAGCAGACACUGAGCUCCUUCCCUAGGCACCUGCAAGUGGGCGCAGGGUGUGAGGAUGAUGUUCCCACCAAGACUGCUUAGUGCAUUUUCUCAUCAGUAGGAGCUGCUUGGUGGGGGUGGUGGCAUGGGGAGCAUCAUUUGUCCUCUAGAACUGGACCCCUCAGGCCUCUCAGAGGCAGCAUGUUGUGAAGAAUUUCAUGCCAGGAUUCCUGGGCUCUGUCUGAUCCUGGGCCAUUGACUAACCCACUGUGUGAUGUGCCAAGUCACUUCCCCAAUCUGAGCCUCAGUUUCCUCCCUUGUUAACUGAAGGGUUGUGUUAAACAAUCUUAAGGACUCUUUCGGCACUUAAUAUUUUCCUUACUUACAAAGUGAUUGUGUACGUGGCUUGUUGUGAGGAUUAGAGAUGAUUCAUGUCGAAAUUAUACUUGGUGCAGAAAAUAUGUCACCUUCAAAAAUCCUAGGAUCCUUCCCUCUGGGAAAUGGGUAACCUAAGUCCAUUCCUCCCUAAACAGCGGCAUAAAGAGUAGCUUGAGUCAGAUACCAUGAACAAUAUUUAUUACCCAAAGCACUUUGAAAGAUUGAGGCACAAGGACAUGGCUUUCCCAAGUUACAAGAAAAUCAGAACCUCUUCAAACUCACCCUCCACCUGCAGCCAAAGUAAGGGAUUAAAGGUCAUAGUUCAAGCUAUGUCAUGGCUACUAUAUCCUCAUUCUUGAUGAAUAAUCUUGAAGUCACAAAUGGGCAUGAUGUGAUUUUGAUCCAAAUCUUACCAGGAAAAAACCCACCAUGAAAAUAAAACAAGUUCAUAGAAAUCAUUCCAACAGAAAGAUAC
This is a long non-coding RNA of Sapajus apella (tufted capuchin), 1962 nucleotides long. RefSeq lists it as uncharacterized. The transcript has 2 exons. The record is from RefSeq and is a predicted model, not a curated record. Lineage: Eukaryota; Metazoa; Chordata; Mammalia; Primates; Cebidae.